Molecule: non-coding RNA, 549 nt
Organism: Mustela lutreola (European mink)
Lineage: Eukaryota; Metazoa; Chordata; Mammalia; Carnivora; Mustelidae
Source: the annotation of a RefSeq genome assembly
CCUGCAGCUGGGAGAGGAGCCCCAGGCCCAGGAUACCCAGGUGUUCACUCAGUGAUCAGGACAGAAUACAGACAACUCACCAUGGAAUUUGUGCUGGGCUGGGUUUUCCUUCUUGCUCUUUUAAAAGGUGUCCAGUGUGAGGUGCAGCUGGUGGAGUCUGGGGGAGACCUGGCGAAGCCUGGGGGGUCCCUGAGACUCUCCUGUGCAGCCUCUGGAUUCACCUUCAGUAACUAUGGCAUGAGCUGGGUCCGGCAGACUCCAGGGAAGGGGCUGCAGUGGGUCGCAUAUAUUAGCAGUAGUAGUAGUUACACAUACUAUGCAGACUCUGUGAAGGGCCAAUUCACCGUCUCCAGAGACAAUGGGAAGAACACGCUGUAUCUGCAGAUGAGCAGCCUGAGAGCUGAGGACACGGCCAUGUAUUACUGUGCGAGAGACACAGUGAGGGGAAAUCAGUGUGAGCCCAGACACAAACCUCAAACUACAAGGGUAUCAGACCAGCAGAGGGUGCACACUCCUCACCAGUUCUGUCUUUAAUCCCAGGAGCAGGUG